This is a non-coding RNA of Ictidomys tridecemlineatus (thirteen-lined ground squirrel), 485 nucleotides long. Lineage: Eukaryota; Metazoa; Chordata; Mammalia; Rodentia; Sciuridae. The record is from RefSeq and is a predicted model, not a curated record.
CUGCUCCUAGGAUACAGGGAUUAGUGGUUGAGGGGAUGUGCUUCCAGGACCCAGGCAGGAAGCUCAGAGCCUUGGUCCACCACCCUGUGCUGUGUUAGACUCAUGGACAUCGUCUCUGAUCCACUCAUGAUGGCUCCAAGUUGGCACAAAGUGAGGCUGAUUCACUGGAGCCUUAUGAAUGCUGUGAUCCAGAAAAUUAUUCAGAACUGGUUACAAGACAGAAUGUUUUGUUUUUAUGAAAUGAGCCAAGGGAGGGAUUCCAAAAUGAGAGGAAGAGAGUCCAUCAACUGACAUCCUGGGGAGGCCCAGUUUAAGGAGACACUGGAAGAUAACAUGACAUCAGGCCACCAACAGAGUGGUCCUUCAUGGUCCAGAGCCCAAGAUGGUAGAAACACCUGAUCACAUCAUCUGAAAUCAGAAGCCUUUGUUUCCUAUCUGAUGCCUUCCUAUUUUCUAGAUAAAAAGUUGACGUUUCCUUUCCUCAA